UGCAGUCGGACGGGAUAGGAGAGCUUGCUUUCCUUGAGAGUGGCGCACGGGUGCGUAACACGUAUGUAACCUACCUUGUUCAGGGGGAUAGCCUCUCGAAAGAGAGAUUAAGACCGCAUAACAUUAUGAUAUGGCAUCGUAUUAUAAUCAAAUAUUUAUAGGAACAAGAUGGGCAUGCGGAACAUUAGCUAGUUGGUAAGGUAACGGCUUACCAAGGCUACGAUGUUUAGGGGAUCUGAGAGGAUGACCCCCCACACUGGUACUGAGACACGGACCAGACUCCUACGGGAGGCAGCAGUAAGGAAUAUUGGUCAAUGGGCGGAAGCCUGAACCAGCCAUGCCGCGUGCAGGAAGACGGCCCUACGGGUUGUAAACUGCUUUUGUACCGGAAUAAACCUUGAUUCGUGAAUCAAGCUGAAUGUACGGUAAGAAUAAGGAUCGGCUAACUCCGUGCCAGCAGCCGCGGUAAUACGGAGGAUCCAAGCGUUAUCCGGAUUUAUUGGGUUUAAAGGGUGCGUAGGUGGCUUAUUAAGUCAGGGGUGAAAGACGGUAGCUUAACUAUCGCAGUGCCUUUGAUACUGAUGAGCUUGAAUGAACUAGAGGUAGGCGGAAUGUGACAAGUAGCGGUGAAAUGCAUAGAUAUGUCACAGAACACCAAUUGCGAAGGCAGCUUACUAUGGUUUGAUUGACACUGAGGCACGAAAGCGUGGGGAUCAAACAGGAUUAGAUACCCUGGUAGUCCACGCCCUAAACGAUGAAUACUCGAUGUUGGCGAUAUACGGUCAGCGUCUAAGCGAAAGCGUUAAGUAUUCCACCUGGGGAGUACGCCCGCAAGGGUGAAACUCAAAGGAAUUGACGGGGGCCCGCACAAGCGGAGGAGCAUGUGGUUUAAUUCGAUGAUACGCGAGGAACCUUACCCGGGCUUGAAAGUUAGUGAAUUGAGCAGAGACGCUCAAGUCCUUCGGGACACGAAACUAGGUGCUGCAUGGCUGUCGUCAGCUCGUGCCGUGAGGUGUUGGGUUAAGUCCCGCAACGAGCGCAACCCCUAUGUUUAGUUGCCAGCACGUCAAGGUGGGGACUCUAAACAGACUGCCUAUGCAAAUAGA
Molecule: ribosomal RNA, 1106 nt
Filed under: Mucilaginibacter ginsenosidivorax
Lineage: Bacteria; Pseudomonadati; Bacteroidota; Sphingobacteriia; Sphingobacteriales; Sphingobacteriaceae
Description: bacterial SSU rRNA
Rfam family: Bacterial small subunit ribosomal RNA
Source: RNAcentral